GACUUUCGGGUGAGAGGCGGGGUACACCCUGGACUGGUCGCCAGCGCGUAGAGACAAACAAUCAUUCACACUCACAUUUACAUCUGAGUCUUCAAUGGACCUAACAUGCAUGCUUUUGGAAUGUGGGAGGAUUAGGGUAAAAAGAACAAGGUGAGCAUUGUAGUAUAUUUUCAUAGUAACACAAUCAGAGUUCCUUCGGGAAGGACAAAUGUUUGGAGACCUGUGUUCCCACCAACUGUCUUUUCUUUGUACUUCUACAUCAAAGAACAUCCUUUAACCAGUUAUAUGUUGAUUGGGGGGUCUUGCAUCCCCCUGACAGAAACCUGUCGGGGGUUUACAACCGGUCCUGGUCUUCAAAGAGGACUGUUUGGCAUUAUCGUAACAAAGGACCCCCGGGGGUAAGAUUGACCAGGCUGAGAGACGACAGCAGAGGAGUAGUGGUAUUUCACACACCCAAAGAGACACCAGCUGGCAGGUACGAUUCCAAAUAUGGUCAUGAGGAGCAGCAUCUUUCCGGAUGCAACGAGGGAGGGGGCUAAGUCCACGCCCAGAGAAUUAGAACCUUGAUAAACUGAGAUCCCAGGGGUUUCGGGGGCUUUUUCGUCGUUCUGACAAUGCAGCAGCUGCUAUGACACUAAGGCCUGUUCAAUAAAUCGAAUUAGCCCAAAUGCCAAGUGUCUCGAAAUCUUCAUUCACCCCAUGCCAGACGGAAGUCGGAGUCCUCCCGGGAGACCACCGACUCGGAAGCACAGGUGCACGAAAAUUAACCACAAAAUGGCGUUGUCGGCAGGAUUUCUUUGCGGCGCGGCCGGGAGUCAGCGACGCGGGGCCGCUUCAGAUUUCAGGCCGGCUAAAAAGGUGAGUCUUUUCUCACUGUUUGAAUCUGGCGGCCGUGCGCCGCUGACGCUAGUGGCUUGUGUGCUGUAUUGAAAUCGACUAGUGGGCACGUUCCUGUGCUUCCGUGUCAGAGGGGGUGGUUUGAAGUUUCGUCUAAAUUUCGUGUUGUUUUUACUGGUAUUUUGGACCCGCGGAGGGGAAGGCCCUUCAAGAGUGAAUGAGUUCGACACACAAAUGUCAAAAGAAGUUUUAAAGUGUUAACAGUAGAAUGCUCGAUUUGGGACGUGCGCUUAGUUUCAGAACGGAUGCGUUCAUGCGGAGCUCGGAUGCUAGCAUGAUGUCAGUCCGGCCGUUAAAUUAGCAAGGCACGUCACCAGAUGAGUAACAUAGCCCAUAGUCGUUAAGUACCGAUUGAACACAACCUGGCCAGGUUACUAUUUAGCAGAAUGAGUGUGGAAGCGUAGUCUGAGAGAAGUGACGUCGGCAGUCCAUGUGAGGCCGCCAAAGCUAGCAGACGCGGCUAUUGGGAUAAGUUAUCACACGACGCUCUCGGUGGGAAGAUGAGGGAUCACAUCCACAUAAGGCGGGGCCGAGGUGGGGUGAAGCCUGUGUAAUGAAAUUCGAAGGUUCGACUCCUGGUCGGGUUUGUUAUGCUAAUCUGAGGCCGGGCGUCAUCAAGUGUGAGCAAAUUAAGUAACAGACGAGGUGAGCUCUAUUUGGGAACGAAAGAGACUCAUAGUAGGUCUGGAAAAAGACCCGUGGACUAAGUGUGUGUGAUACGAAUACUCUGUGUGAUACGACUUAUUAAUUGUGUACACAAUAUGAAGAAAAACCCUAGAACUAUAAUAAAUAUAAUUAUAAAAAAAAAAAUAUCUAUGUAAACAGUUAUAAAGCGCUCUAAACAGGUACCCAUUAUCGUUACAAAAAAUACAGGUAAGGUAUGAUAAAUUAAUAUAGAUAUAUAUAUAUAUAUAUACAACUCGGAUGCCGGGCGGCCGUGAACACGGCGGGUUUGCGUCAUGUUGGUCUAUUUUUGGGUCAACGUAACUGGCCAGUGUUCCAGCGAAUCAGACGAGACACGACCCCGGAUGUUUUGUUGGGGGAUGGAUACGGCGGCGGUUGAAUUGGUGAGGCCACGCAUGUGUUACGGAGCCGUUAAAACCUGAGCGAAGAGGAAUUCUGUGAAUCGAGACGAUUCUGGCCCACUUCGGCCUGCACGCGGAGUUUGAAUGCAUGGCGUAAAAGGUGCUGGUUGAAUAAGAGCGUAUGAGCAGGAGGUGAAACGUAAGAAGUGGAUGAGAAUGUAUUUUAGUGUGUUACCAGUGAAUCAUGAGGUGUGUAUGUGCGGGAUGUUAUUGUGUGUGCAGCCAAAUGUGUUCAACGGAGGUAGGGAUGUGACCGGACAUAGGAGUCUUUGUAAAAACGAUAGUUAGGGGUGAUAUAAUUACUUUAAUGUAGUGCCGAAGAGAUAGACAGUAAAACGCAGCGAAGUUUAAUAUACUCGCGAGAUGACAAGGGUGUUGUAAGGCGGAAAAGGGCUUUGCGGGGCGCUCGGUUGAGUAAAUUCAGAGAGGAUUGGUAAUGGAUGCUGAAGGAAAAUAUGUUGUUAAGAAAAUAGAAGAGAAUGAAAAAUUGAGUAGAAAAAUGUAUGAGAUUUGUCUGGUGUGCCCUGCCAUGGCAGCUGUUCAGCGAAGAAAAAAUAAGAGCGACAAAUUCCCCCGCUAAAUACAAUUUACGGACCUUUCCGAAAACGGCCCCAGUGACGUCACUAUAACCGGCAUUGCCGGUCAAGGGGCGUCUCAAAUGGCAGACCAUUUGUAGAGGGGAAAUAAAACUCCUAUCAAUUCCGCACGAGCCCGCAUUCAAAAAGGUGGGUAAAUGUACAAAAAUUGGCUUUCAAAAUGUUUUAGUUUUUACAGAAACGGCUGCCCGGACUGGCUGCUGUUGGUGUAAUUUGGAUCCAGGGGCUGAAAAAGUUGAUGGACAACAUGAGCCUGGCGUGUGGUGACAUAGUCAGAUUGAUACGCGCCUGUUGCAUUUCGGUUCACCAAUCGGAUGAUAUGUUGCCACGGUCAGGUCUGAAUAAUGUCGAACCUGAAAUUUUAUUUGCCCCUUUUGCUCCUAUAGUAUUUGCUGUGUGACAUGUUCCCGUCCUCUUCCCCAACGGUGCUGAAGCUUCCGGACUUCAAACCUCUCAUGGAUCCCAGUUCUCACUUCGAACAUUGCAUAAGUAUUUGGACAGAUAAGACAGGAUCACAUCCCUCCCGUUUAAGAGAGGCAAAUGUUAUUUAUAGAAUAGCUUUACUUGAGACCUUGCCGGUUGAAGUUAGGACUGAACUUUUUAAAGACCCUGACCUCAUGAAAGGGGGAGAUAGCUUUUUUAAUUGUCAUAGGUCACACCAUUUGAAACUUUUUGUCGACAGAAAACACAAAUCAUCAGAUGAGGUAAAGGACAUGCAGGAACAACUUUUGAAGCUACCAUUGGCCCAGGCCCGUAAAGUGGCCAUUAAAAAAAAAAUAAAAAAAAUAAAAUAAAUAAAUAAAUAAAAAUGGAAGCAGAAAAACAGAUGUGGAUGCCGCAGGGGUCAACGAGGAGACGAGGCGGGAGUCGUGACAGAGGACACCAACGGAGGCAGGGGAAGCCCUUGCCGACCUCCAACGGACCAAGCGUGCUUCAAUUGUGGUCAGUAUGGACACUGGGAUUGCCAAUGUACUGUUUACCCAAUGAUUCAACAAUGACCUCCAGUGGAACCCGGAGAGGCCACACCUCAAAGAGGAGGCUACAAAGCUUCACGAGGGAGAGGUGGGCGCGUCCCGGCAACAGCAUCCGCAGCAGGCUCCACAGCAACGAGCCAUCUCGCCAGUACUACUGCGAUGAGGCCUGGUCCGAAUGCCCAAUGAGCCCGGAGCCAGGGGACGGAGGAAAGACAGAGCCUCUGAACCCCACUAAGGGAAGACAACCACCUGAAUGAGCUGUGCAGGGGUGCCCAUGAGUGUGCCGAUUACGAUACCAUUAAAGACUGAAAUUGCUGGACAGACGCAUGAACAUCAGUUUGUCCUCAUGAAAAGAGGGGCUCCAGUGAACCUGAUGGGCAGAGAUCUGCUUAUCAAGACCAGGGCUACCAUCCUUUGUAGCCCAGAUGGACUGACGAUACGGGUCCCCGAUGGGACCAUGAUGAACUGUGGAAGAAGUUAUCCUCCAGAUGGAACAUGAUACAACAUGAACUUCCGGAAGCAACUGCUGACAUAUAUUGGGCCCGACUAAAACCUGAAACAAAGGAGGGAGGCGGAGUUUACUCGGCCUUCCUGCGGUGGAAGGCCUGGAUCGACUCUCUUGCCCCCUAUCGUCCUCCAAUUGAUCCUCUCCAUCUCACACUGUUUUAUGAUAAAAAUGACGAUUUGGUUUACAGAGAAGCUUUUGAGCCAAUACAGGGGGAAAAUGGGAUGCUCAAUAAGUAAAAGUAUUUACAUAGGGAAGCAAGGUGUGGCAGCGGCCGCCACCUUGACGCCAGAGCAGAGUGAGUGGUUUAUGAUGAGUUUGACAUCUUUUCCACACUUUUUCACUUGCACUAGGUCAUAAAGCUUGAGAACUGGGACCCAUGGUGAGAAAAUGCCAAUUGGCAAAUGAUUGGCAACAAGAUCAAAUACCCAAUGUGUUGUACUCUUCCAGUACUGAAUGUUUUUGUAUUCAAGGUACCAUGGUGGACGGAGGGGUGUUGGAGCAUGUGACUUUAGCGCGAUUCCAUGGCGGAGAACUCUCGGACCAUGAGGACGCCGCACAGCUGUUGAGCUCGCUGCCGGACUCAUUGUGGUCCGAGGGUCCUGCAGACGGGGGUCUAUGUACAUCCGUGACUCCGGUAACAUUCGAGGUAAACCCGACUGCUUUUGUUAACGUGCCGUAGUAUCCUUGUAAACAAGAGGCCAUAGAAGAUAUCGCGGAAACCCAAAUUCUGAAAUCCCAAUGCUUUGGUCCAUAAAUGAUGUUAUGAAACCCUCCGCUCAAGCUGCAGAACCGCUGGCCAUUUGCAGGGCACUGGAGAUAUCUGAAAGUCAAGAGUGUUACUCCUUAUUAAUGGUGCUGAUGCUGCAGCAGAAAAAAGUAGCAGGCUAAUAAAUGGAUAGAUGCUUAGAGAGCACUUGAGGUGAGAGAUGAUUGUGAGAAGCACAUUAACGCAUACGAUGGCUUUAAACUUGUUUAUGCCUAGAAGAGGAGUAAUGAAAAAUGUGUUAACUUGUGUGUCAGAGGGAAUUAUUUUGGCUUAUUUACGGAAUGGCACACAAGGAAGUGGUAGGAUGGUUGUAAUUGUGAAUAUACCGGGAGGCUGUGAUUUUUGUAAGUGGAUAUACAUAGAAGUUCCUGUUUGGGCAAACCAAAUUAAGAAAAUUAUGCGAGGUACACCAGUCUACUAAAGACAUCCGUACAAUAUUUAGUUGAUACAGUAUAGUAACUAUUAAUACAGCAUAGCGAAUGCAACUCUUUUCAUUCACAGAAGUGAAGGAUGGGCCAGAGGUAUAAGGUUGUGUUGCUACUUAUGGUACAUACGAUAUGAGACUGUGCCUCAUGUGCAUUGUGUGCCAGGGAAAUUAUGAGGAGUACAUUUCUUUGAGAAUGACUAUGUUAUUUGGUAUGAAGAUUAAUCUGUUUGAUUGUCUCCCCAGAUUCAGCACUAGAGCAGGGAAGACAAAGAGGAUUUUUCCAUCUUUCUGGCAAGCCAAUUUUGAGGAGGGUUAUGUAGUUGCAUUCUGUCUUCUAAAUCAGGUCGAUUACAACACUUUGUGGACAAGCGGAGAGCUGCUUUUUGAGCUAAAGGGACAAAUUUAUCAGGGAUAGUAUUCUUAGAUUGCUAAAAAUAAGAUAACAUUGUUGCCUCAGUUAUUGGUGACUGGUUCCUUACAGCGGUUGGGGAGGGUUGGUCAAGGCAUUGAUCAUGUGAGACAUAAAGUAAUAAUACACAAAAGGGGUAAUCGGGAAGCACCAUAUAUAGAUUAAUAAAUACAAGUUAAGGUUGAUUGCUGGGAAGUUCUGCGAGGCCCUGCACCCUAAAAUAGCCGGGAACUUGCACUAAAAUGUUAAAUGACCGGACAUCGGCAUCCCAGCUAGGGGGCCCGUUUUACAACUGGUGCGUGGGCGAAGUUUACGAUAGGCAGGGCUUACGUCUGAGGAUAAGAGACAGAGGUCAGGAGGGUUGCAACUCAGAGACAACUGUAAAUAGGAAGAAAAGAACAAAGGGUAGUUAGACUUAAAAAUCUUCCACUGACUUAAUUGAACAAGCUAGAAAGUAAGCGGAUAUAAACCAAAUUUAGAAGCUAUGACAGAAAACGCCGUUUACUGAACAGGUGACUAUGGGAGGCUCGGUCGUGCUAGCGUGACCUUAUUGACAAGUGAGAACCCAGUGUGUCCCCUCUCAUAUGCUGUUAGAGCCGCGGGUCGGUCGCCGGUUUCGGCUGUUCAGUUUAUCCACAAUAACAAAGACAUAAGCAAUGCCGUGAAGCAAGCAAGGGGGGCGCCACUGUUAUUAUUUGUCACGAGAGACUGAGAAAGACUCUUCAACCUGACGAUUGCAUCUAUAUGAAGGAUGUUUCUCAUGACAGAAAGAGAGCCAAGGAAAGGACUUUGUGGUGGAGACGGCAAAAAGCUGGAAAGACAAAGAGCAGCUGAAUGGUCCUGUGUCUCCACGUUUACCAAGCGAAUUGGAACAAUAUGAUGAAAAGUCUGUUUCAGUGGGGGACAAAGUGGACACAUUUCAAAGCCAUCAAUGAUGCUGAGGGACGAAGGUCGGAGUCGGUCGGUGAUCAGUGGCUCGUCGGAAGAUGGUGGGGACACACUUGAGGUAAUUUGGUCAUCGGUAUUAAGCAGGUCACCUGCCCUUGAACAGCAAUAAAUGGUAAAGGCUAGGCAGGGCAUAUAUUUAGGAGUUUUCAGUAUAAGAAGGGUUAAAUUUUACUUAGUCAGAAAUCUCCCUAGUCAGUGAGGUGGGCAGAGGCACUAGAUAGGAUUGUGGGAGAAAUUAGAAAUAUUUUUGCCAUUAUGGGAGUAUGAGGUCAUGCAGUCCUCAGAUAGAAUUCUACUUCAAAAUUUAUAUUAAACGUCGGUAGGGGUUGAAAGAGAGAGGUCAGAAAGGAGCAGACCUCCUACUUGAUUUCACCUACCAUUGGUUAAUGAGUCUGUUAGUAGUUUGUUAGCAAAUGCCUCACUAAGCCUCCUACGCUGCACAUGUAAAUAUCGUCGGACCAAGACCAUCUACUGUAUUUGGGCACUAGGGGGUAAUAUACAAAGGGGGGCAUUGAUCGAUGAAUUAAUCUGGUCUGACGUAGAAGAGGGGGACUUGAUUUGCGGAUCUGUCAGGUGUAAUAUUGGAAAUUAGGAAAAAGCAAUGAAGGAUACCUGUAGACUGGUAGAGGAAUCUUGGGAAAAUUAUGCGCAGUGACGGGGGUGUAAAGACCGAAAUACGAGCAAGCCGUUUCUGGUACAUUUGGGGAGUAAUAAUUAGAAAUCAGUUGGUAACAGAGCUAUUUUUAAAUUGUCAAUCUAGCAGGAAUAUCGCGGUACUGAGGAGGAAGACCACGUGUAGUGAUUGUACUAGUUAGUUCAAACCGAUCAACUUUCAAAUACUAGUUACGUGAUGGCAGGGGAGGAGGCGGUUUUUGCCCAAACAGGAACGAGGGAAGGUGGAUAUUAAUUGCGUUAAAAAAAAUAAAAUAAAAUAAAAAAUAAAAAAAAUUUAAAAAAAAUAAAUAAAUAAAAAAAGCCUCAGGAGGCUGCACAAGUUUCAUAGCUUGCAAAUUACAAAUUUUGAUCCGCGACUUGGGUAAGCACGCAAAUGCUUCCAAAUGGGUUGGUUGGGAAUUACGCGUCAACCAAUAUAUAUUCUGUGUUCAGUUUUGUCUGUGGGGUGUGUAAGUGGAAAUGGACGGUCAGGUCAAUGUUAUUGUCUGAGAAGUCUCGCUUGUCAUGUCGUAUUAAAUGUUUAUGGUUUGUGUUAAAUGUUUACGGUUUGUGUUAAAUGUUUGUGUUGUGUUAAUUAAAAGCAGAAAUGGAGCACCAAUGGAGUGAUUGUGGGAAUGUGAUCACAUACAAGAGCCAGUCUCACCCAUAUCAAACAUAGCAUCCCAAGAUGUUGGGAGCCGGAGGUCAAAUUAAGUACUCUUGGGCCACGACCCUAUUUUAGGAAUUCGAACUUUUAGUUCUGGCAUGAUUGAAGCACCACUGGGUCAAAUUCACUCAUGUGGAGAAGGCUUCUAUGCAAUUUGUGGGGUCAUCUGAGACUAACAUGUUUAUGACGACUGAGGACUUUGUGACUGACAAGUGGGUACGGUCUACACAGACUGUUGACUAACUGACCUUUGUGACGGUGUACAUAAGGACACGGGGAAGAGUCUGAUUUGUGGACAUAACUUUAUUUUUCAGGACGCCCAGGAGGAUGCAGUGUGACAGUGUUGAGUUAUUGCAGGUUAUGGGAGUGCUGACUUAAUGCCGAUUCUUAUGUGAUUCUUGGUCUAUUGACAUUGCCACUGUUGGGAAACGUGUUAACAAUGAAUUAUCAGUGUUAACAUAUGAUUUGUUAUUUAUGGAAAUUAUAUCAAUGUUUGGUGACCAUUGCCGACUUGUCCCUUCUCUGGGGUAUGAAUGCAGGAAUUAUGGAGUCCACCCCCUUGGCAGGAGCAUCUUUUGCAGAGGUGUGAUUAAUUUAUUAAAGGACUUGUUUGCAGGACUUGUCAGCUGGGCCUCUGCAACAGGGAAGAUGACCUGUUUAAAAAUGGAUGGUGGAGUGUAUUCCUGUUGUUGUGUAUUUGCUGGGAGAGUAGCCUCUAGGAACUUUGCUGUGCUGACUCCCACCAGUAACAUCUACUGCCGGCGGACCUGAGACAGCUGUCGAAGAAGGGUGCCCGGGUAAAGUGGACACAUUGAUUCAUAAUGUAUCCGAACGGGAGGUUAGUAUUCCAAUUCUGAACUUUGAUUCAACACUGUACUGUUAUUGGAGGUUGCUAGUUUAUGCAGGUUCAUCACAGGAAGUUGGAUGGAGGAGAGCUUAGGAAGAUAUGGUGCAUGCAUGACUGGUGGGAUACAGAGUAUGACCAAUAUCGGAAUGUCUAAUGCAAUACUGUCGAGGGAGUUCACAUGAUAUGGUAGUAAGUACCUUAGCGUGACACUGACGGUGAGUAUGAUAUGAUUGAGGGGUAAUGAGUAAUACGAAACAUCUAUUGACACCCCUCCAGAGGUUAUGAUUCGUCAAGUGGCAGAUAUAUGGGUUUUGGCAUGAACAAUAAAUAUAGAGUAACUAUGGUAUAAUGAGAUAUUAGAGUCUGGGGGCUAAUAUGGACUUGAUGACGCAAUCGGUUACGAACUAGGGUCUCUACGAGGUACGGAACUAAAAGGGGAGUGAUGUGAAAAUUAACGCAAAUUUAAAUUACAGGACGACUGAGGGGUAAGAUAUUGCAAGCCGCUGCGGGUGGUUAGGGGUGCGUGCCAAGAAUCCACCGAAUUGGGGAGGAAUCAGGAGGGUCUCAUAGGGGCACCCCCAUCCCUUUUUGGGUCAGUUAAGUCAGGAGGCGCAUGGGCUAGCCCAUGACGCAAGGGGGGUGUAAAGCGGAAAAUUAGGAAAGAAUAGGGGUUUGGGCACCUGUUAAAUAAAUUGUAGAAAUUAUCAUAGUUUAGCUUAGCUUUCAUUAAUAUUAUGGACAAUUUUGAUGGAAGAAUUGCGCAACAAAGAAGUCUGCAGAAGAAUAAACCUAGGGUAAUACUAGUCAAAGGGACGACGGAGUCUUGUACGUACUUAAAUUCCGUGUUUCCGUGGGUUUGUAAAAACGUUAUUAGUAUCGUGUGAAUGUGUAGAAGUGUGAAUGUAUAAGACAGGAUUGCAAAUUACAACUGGGUUUGGAAGCAGGUGCAAGAAUCCUCCGUCCCGUGGGGGUAAAAGUUUGAAGGUUACCAAGCCCCAGACAUUCAUUGUCACCCUGUCAUUUUGAAUAGUCAGUAUUAAGGUCACUCUCGGUGCAAAUAAAUUGACUUCCAAAUUCACAAAAUAAGGAAAAAUAACAGUAAACCGGAUUCAAGAGAACGCUUCACGUGUAAAGACUGGAAAUAUGUUCAACUCCAAACCCCUUACAAAAUGAAACAUUUAAACACAUGGAUAACCAAAUACGAUGUCGCGGGCCAGCUAACUUUGAAAAAUUGGUUCAACGUCGAGACGAAAUAAAAGUCGACAUAAAAAUAAUAGAAAAAUGGAUAAAAGAGGGAUAUGAUGACAUAGUUGUCUGGCUAAACAUGGUGUCUAAAAUAGAAAAAGGAAGUAAAGAAACGAAGGACUUAGAAAAUGGACGGAAAAGGCCUUCAGGGACAUUAAACAACAUUUGGUGUCCAGGAAAGUGCUGGCCCUUCCAAAGUAUGAUAAAACAUUCAUUCAAAUGGUAGAGUGGAAAAGCUAUUACAAGACCUCCGUACUUACGCAACAAUGAAGUGAUAAACUAAGACCAAGAGCUUAUUUUUUGACUAAAAUAGACAGAGUGAUGUGAUAAUGGGCGGCAUGGUGGCCGACUGGUUAGAGCGUCAGCCUCACAGUUCUGAGGACCGGGGUUCAAUCCCCGGCCCCGCCUGUGUGGAGUUUGCAUGUUCUCCCCGUGCCUCCGUGGCUUUUCUCCGGGCACUGCGGUUUCUUCCCACAUCCCAAAAACAUGCAUUAAUUGGAGACUCUAAAUUGCCCGUAGGUGUGACUGUGAGUGCGACUGGUUGUUUGUUUGUAUGUGCCCUGCGAUUGGCUUGCAACCAGUUCAGGGUGUACCCCGCCUCCUGCCCGAUGACAGCUGGGAUAGACUCCAGCACGCCCGCGACCCGCGUGAGGAGAAGUGACUCAGAAGAUGAACGGAUGGAUGGACUUGGUGGAGGAAGUUAGGUCAUUUUCUUGGCUCAGAUUCCUUCAUGCUAGGGUGUUACAAAACAAAUUAAUAUCCAGCGAUGGUAAGCGUCGGAGUCAUGUCCGCAGGGGUUUGGAGACAUACAGCGAUGCAAGGGGGGUAUUAUCACUUACGGAUUAAGCAACGGCCACUACCAUGCCUGCCUCAGAUGUGUAGAACUGACUGCCCUCCAUAUAUUGUACUGUUAGAUAUCCAUUUGAAAAUGGGUUGGAUUAAGUUUGAUUUUGUUGCAAAAUACUGGCAGAUGUUUUUGUUCUUCCAGGGGUGGUCUGGAGCUGUUCAGGGUCCCGUGUGUAUAAACCUGAACUCUGGGACUAAUUCAUGGUGGACAGCGGCCCGGGGCUGCAGGGGUUACAGUUUCUUCAUCAAUGACACGAGCUGUAGACCAUAUGGAGGGAGACCACCUUUAAGAUUUUUAUUUUUAUUUCGUGUGUAUUUUGAUAUGUGUGCUUCCACAGUUCUUUUUUGUGUUUUACGCUGUUUUUUGUUCAUUUAUUUCAAUGUUUGUAUUAUUCUGUUGUGUAUGGUUUGCCAUCCGAGUCAAGGCCGCUUUGGGUGUUUUGAUGUACGGGGCUCUGAAGGACACGUGACACGACUCUCGCUCUUUUCCUCGUCUCGUUUUGAGAAAGGUUUUUCGACCGAGAGCCGCGAAACCUUGACGCUUCCACGAGGCUGCGCGUACAAAUUGAUAAAUUUGGGAUUGGCUCCGUUUCGAUAUCGGGGAGGAGAUUUGGUUUGUUUGGCUGUUUGGUACGCACGUGUGACCUCGGGGGGCGAAGAGGAGACGCAGGGAGUGAUUCGGCCUUAUUAGAAUAAUUAUUUUUCCUAGUAAAUGGUUAACCAUAAGUAAAUGCCUUGGAGCAUGAUAGAUUUUCUUGACCAAGUAGAUUUGUUCAAAUUGUAGAUAAUUAGUUAACUUUUUGGGCUAACGCUGGUUUGUUGGUUCUGGCCAGGUGUCAUUUGGUAACUCUAGGUUUGUAAUGAGUUUGGGGAUCUCAUUAAAGGGGGGUUAUGUAGUAUAUUUUCAUAGUAACACAAUCAGAGUUCCUUCGGGAAGGACAAAUGUUUGGAGACCUGUGUUCCCACCAACUGUCUUUUCUUUGUACUUCUACAUCAAAGAACAUCCUUUAACCAGUUAUAUGUUGAUUGGGGGGUCUUGCAUCCCCCUGACAGAAACCUGUCGGGGGUUUACAACCGGUCCUGGUCUUCAAAGAGGACUGUUUGGCAUUAUCGUAACAAAGGACCCCCGGGGGUAAGAUUGACCAGGCUGAGAGACGACAGCAGAGGAGUAGUGGUAUUUCACACACCCAAAGAGACACCAGCUGGCAGGUACGAUUCCAAAUAUGGUCAUGAGGAGCAGCAUCUUUCCGGAUGCAACGAGGGAGGGGGCUAAGUCCACGCCCAGAGAAUUAGAACCUUGAUAAACUGAGAUCCCAGGGUUUUCGGGGGCUUUUUCGUCGUUCUGACAAUGCAGCAGCUGCUAUGACACUAAGGCCUGUUCAAUAAAUCGAAUUAGCCCAAAUGCCAAGUGUCUCGAAAUCUUCAUUCACCCCAUGCCAGACGGAAGUCGGAGUCCUCCCGGGAGACCACCGACUCGGAAGCACAGGUGCACGAAAAUUAACCACAGCAUUCAAAUUCAAACUCCAUACAGGAAGGCCAGAGCCCGGAUUUGAACCCCCAACCUCAGAACUGUGCGGCGGCACACUUGAUCACCGUGCCGCCCUUGUAUCACGCCAGUACAACUAAAUUAACCAACAAUUGCAUUCAGAACAACAUUUACAGUAGCACGUCUUCUGGCUUAUGUUUCCUGUUGUAACCUUCCCGGCUGUCAACCUUGGAUAGCAUUAAUUAUCAAAUUAUACAAUAUCUUUCUGAGCAGGUUCUGCUAAAAGACAGUGUUUUUUUAAGGCUUUUCUUCUGUACCUCUUUCUUGAUCUUGUAAAUUAUUAGUUUUAGACUCAUGCGUUACAAGUUGUUGACAUGAUGUUAUUCUCAGUCUGUGGUUUUACUGCAAAAAGCACACAUCCUGCGCACGUAACGGUUUCUUUUUUCUCUCUCUUGGAUGGCAAGCCACCUAAAACGACAAAUGCUUGUAUGUCAUUAUUCAAAGCGAGAGAGAGAGAGUGAGUUGUCUGUCUGUUAUCAGAGAAUCAUCACCAUGGGAAACUGUUCCACUGUGACAAUCCCGGCUGAUUUCAACCUUUUUUACAUGUCACCUUUAUUCUGGGUGCCCACUGGAUUACUGGUACUCUCGUUGUCUUGCAAUAUUGUUUUCUGUUUUUCAAAAUCAGGUUGUUCAG
Phyllopteryx taeniolatus (common seadragon) is the source of this 13049-nucleotide long non-coding RNA. RefSeq lists it as uncharacterized. Lineage: Eukaryota; Metazoa; Chordata; Actinopteri; Syngnathiformes; Syngnathidae. The record is from RefSeq and is a predicted model, not a curated record. The transcript has 2 exons.